UGGGAAUUUUGGACAAUGGGCGAAGCCUGAUCCAGCAAUGCCGCGUGUGUGAAGAAGGCCUUCGGGUUGUAAAGCACUUUUGUCCGGAAAGAAAUCCUUGGCUCUAAUACAGUCGGGGGAUGACGGUACCGGAAGAAUAAGCACCGGCUAACUACGUGCCAGCAGCCGCGGUAAUACGUAGGGUGCAAGCGUUAAUCGGAAUUACUGGGCGUAAAGCGUGCGCAGGCGGUUUGCUAAGACCGAUGUGAAAUCCCCGGGCUCAACCUGGGAACUGCAUUGGUGACUGGCAGGCUAGAGUAUGGCAGAGGGGGGUAGAAUUCCACGUGUAGCAGUGAAAUGCGUAGGAGAUGUGGAGGAAUACCCGAUGGCGAAGGCAGCCCCCUGGGCCAAUACUGACGCUCAUGCACGAAAGCGUGGGGAGCAAACAGGAUUAGAUACCCUGGUAGUCCACGCCCUAAACGAUGUCAACUAGUUGUUGGGGAUUCAUUUCCUUAGUAACGUAGCAACGCGUGAAGUUGACCGCCUGGGGAGUACGGUCGCAAGAUUAAAACUUAAAGGAAUUG
Molecule: ribosomal RNA, 563 nt
Filed under: uncultured bacterium
Lineage: Bacteria
Description: partial 16S ribosomal RNA
Rfam family: Bacterial small subunit ribosomal RNA
Source: RNAcentral